Long non-coding RNA from Hemicordylus capensis (graceful crag lizard), 565 nucleotides. RefSeq lists it as uncharacterized. The record is from RefSeq and is a predicted model, not a curated record. The transcript has 2 exons. NCBI's taxonomy places the organism in Eukaryota, Metazoa, Chordata, Lepidosauria, Squamata, Cordylidae.
AGGAAACUUUCCCACAGGGAUUUUGCUGAGUUCUACCACCAACAAUGCCAGAGAUGAGAAGGCCAUGCAGCAACAGAAACCUUUCCACUUCUGCCCUUUCUGUGUUCAGAUGCACAGGUAUCUUUUCUUCUACGAUGCUUGCUGACCUUGUAGAAUGUCACUCACUGUGGUCAGGAAUUUGUGUCUGUGUGUGUGUUAGGUAAAUCCUGCCUACAACUUCUCCAUCAGUGCUUUGUACUGUUUCCUACACACACAAGAAGUCCUCCAUACAGAUCUUCAUGAUUUAUUGAGAUCCAAUUUUUAAAAACAAUCUUCUCUUCCUUGGAACGACUCCACCAAACUUUAGUAUUCUCCCAGACAAUGUAAGGAUUAUUUAAAUGUCUGUUUGUAAAAAUAACUAUGACACAUUUUAUAGAUUUCCUUUUAAAACUCAGAAGGCCAGGCCUAGUCCUAUAGGCUAUGUAGCUGAAAUGAUCUCUGGGAAACAUGUCAGCCUCUCUGAGUUCCUCAGAAGAUGUGCUCUAUAAGUGUAAAAAACAACAAAUAAAGUUUGGAGGACAAUCCA